CCUACGGGGGACAGCAGUGAGGAAUAUUGGUCAAUGGCCGGAAGGCUGAACCAGCCAAGCCGCGUGAAGGACGAAGGUCCCAAGCAUUGUAAACUUCUUUUGUCAAGGGACACACUCCGCCUCGCGAGCCUGACCGCGGGUACUUUAAGAACAAGCAUUGGCUAACUCCGUGCCAGCAGCCGCGGUAAUACGGAGGAUGCGAGCGUUAUCCGGAUUUAUUGGGUUUAAAGGGUGGGUAGGCGGACUGUUAAGUCAGCGGUAAAAUCGCGGGGCUCAACCUCGCUCCGCCGUUGAAACUGGCGUUCUUGAGUGGGCGAGAAGUAGGCGGAAUGCGUGGUGUAGCGGUGAAAUGCAUAGAUAGCACGCAGAACUCCGAUUGCGAAGGCAGCAUACCGGCGCCCAACUGACGCUGAAGCACGAAAGCGUGGGUAUCGAACAGGAUUAGAUACCCUUGUAGUC
RNAcentral lists this ribosomal RNA (459 nucleotides) under uncultured bacterium. RNAcentral's name for it is "partial 16S ribosomal RNA". It matches the Rfam family "Bacterial small subunit ribosomal RNA", at positions 338 to 795 of the family's 1533-position model. The record is from RNAcentral.